AGUACCCAGAGCACAAUACACUGGAGAAGGCCGCAGGGACCUCUGCCUAGGAAAGCCAGAAAAACUCACUACCCAGCCCACAGGCAGAGAAGGGAGUGGAGGCGGCCAGCGGUGUGUCUCAGAAGAGCUGUAAAUACUGUGCUGACACAGGGUUGCAUGUAACCACAAUUGGAGAAAUGCUUUCUACUAAGCCAAAGGUAAAUUGGCACUGCCAAUUGCUACUUCACAGAAAGUAAAAAUGAUGUUGAGAGGAAAGCAAGGAAGUAUGGGAUCUUGUGCUGCUGUUGUUACCUGGCUGCUCCAAAGAACCAUAAGAUUAUAACCAACUCAUCUUGGUUUGCCUGGGAUUUUCCUGGUUUAUCACUGAAAUUCCUGUAUCCUGGAAGACCCUUGAGCCCCAAGCAAACUAGGACAGUUGGUCACCUACUGAAGAAACUUCCUUAAAAAAGAGUUUGCACAGUUGUAGCUACCAGAAGAAAGCUCAGCAAAGAUUCAAAGUCCUUCUAAAAUGAUCCAGAUUGAGAAUACCAGCUGCUGGGGAAUCAUUAUUAGGCAUUACAUCAAGAGGAGGCAUCAAAAAUCCAACAGGAGAAGCUACCUUUGCUAACAAUAGCGAAGAGGCAGAAUUCAGAAUUCUUACUGAUUGGAGUCAUCACAAGAUUAUAUUAUAUUACAUUAUUAUAUUAGAUUAGAUGGUUUCUCCUGCUAGAAGCAACUUUUAUUUUUUUUAACUUUAGCAGUCUUUUAUUUCCAAAAUGAGUAAAUCAAUGGACAAAAAAGAAAUAGGAAGAAAAUGAAUUUGGCAUAACUCAUUACUAGAAAAGCAAUGUUCAUUUUGAAUAAUGGGAAACUGAAUUUGUGUGAAUUUGUGUGACAUCAUCCAAAGCCUCCAAUUUCACCAAUGUCAUUCCUUUGCAUCUGAGUCACACAGUUGGUAGUUUUUCACUUUAACUCUUCCAAAAUAAAAGUAAAUAAAAAUAUUCUAUUAGGAAACCUGAUAAAUUUUGAAACCCAAAAGCUCAAGCCAGUUCUAUAGACCUUGAAUUUUUCAACCUAGCACUAAAAUUGUCAGUAAUGGAUUGGAUAGAAUACAGGCUUACACAGAAACAAACAUGGUUGACUUUUUCCAGACACAGAAAAUAAGGUUACCAAUGUUAUAAAAUCUCUAAGUUGUAUCUACUUGGAGAUACUGUGCUUGAUAUCAGUGGUCCCGAUUUCAUUAGGAGAAAUCUGAUCAUCUUUCUGGAAUUGAAAACUGGAAAUGGCCCAGCUGGAUUUCCUUUUAGAAGACACAAGGUUUCUUGAAAUGAGCUAUCCAAAAGUAAGAUAUUCCUUUCUUGCACCAGUAAAGACUGAAUGAGCCUGAACAGGUGUUGCAUAAAUGACCACUUGAUCACCCAAAUGCAUGAGCCUCUCUUCUUUCUGGAUACAAGGUCAAGCCAAAUCAUGUUUUCUUGCCUCCCUUUUACUUAUGUGUGGCCAUGUACUAAAUUCUAGCCAAAAGAAAGGAAGCAGAAAUGAUAUGUGCUACUACCAAGAUUGGACUAUGAAAACCUACUACACAUUCUCCUCAAUGUAUGCUUCACUUCAAGUCUACCAAGAUGGUGGCUUACAGGGUAUCGAAAUCUGCUGAAGAUGAGAGAACCUGCAUUCACCUGGGAGCCCGAAUGACUGUUAAGAAGGUCGCCUGUCCAGUUGAUCACUUGACUGGUUUAUGUGGGGAAAAAUAUAUUCAGCAAGAGCUGAUAUGGUUUCAGGAGUAUUGCUAGAGAAGUUAGCCUACUUUCACCAAUUUGAACAAAAGCCGAAGAUAGGCUGCAUUAUGAAGGCACUGUUUCUAGGGCUUGCUGUAAAAGAUGAUAUCCAGGUAAUGAGCAUUCGUGAGGGCAGGUGAUGCCUUUUGCUAUGUGCCAUGUCAAUGCACAAGACAGACAUACUUUCUCUAAGGCAGUCUAUUUCCAGCAGAGAGUUUUCUUAAGUGUGAAAAGAUAUUGCAGUAGACAAGCAAGAUUUCUUUUUAUUUCUGCUAAAGGUAAUAAACAUUAAGGUCUCAUUUUAAAAAAUAUAAAUAAAUUGAAUUAUAGGUGAAAAGGAAUGCAUCAUGCUGCUACUUAACAUUUCUUUGAUUUCCCCAAAUGGAAAUUAUGAUUAAGCCUAAGUUUUAAGUUAUAAGUCAUUUGAGACGCUUCUGAAUGUUGUCUCCAAAUUUGUCUCCAUAUUUGAAGAACUAUGUAUUUCUCCAAGGACUCAUAAAGUGGAGAGCGGUCAAAUGUGCCAACAGCCUAAGAAAAGGAAAACUUUUAAGUGAAGGAAAUGUUGCUAAUAAGUGGAAAGGUUACGUUUUAUUGAGUAUACACAUUUAUGGUCAUAGUUUUAAGUUUCGCUUCAAGCAGCAUUGCCAAGAUUAAAGUUAUAAUUAAAUCCCCAUUUUAUAAAGAUGUCAGUUAGUUUUUUCAGUGAUUUUAUGAUUUAAUUAAGGACUAGGACAACUUAUUGCAAGCAUGAGUAGUUUUAAUAGUAAAAUAUAGUUUAGAUUACUAACUUGAUGUUCCAGAGGGACUGCUUCCUUGUGAAAGGGUAAUUCACUGUAAGACUUCCUUAUGUUCAAACCUGUUCUCUCUUCAUGCAGUGUAUUUUAUGACUCAGUUUUGUGGUUUCCACAUACAACUAUCCUAAUAGCAGCUGCUUCCCAACCUCCCCCCACCACACACACACACACACACACACACACACACACACACGUUUUUGUCUUACAGAUUUAGUUCUUUACUUGUGGUGAAACUAUUAGAAUAGAGGCAAAAUGCUACAUGAAUCUACAAAGAUAUACGUCUUCUAAUGAAAAUAGUAAUUACUUUUUCAUAAUUUCACAAAAUGAAUAAGCCUAAACAAACAAGACACAUGCAAUGACCAGAGGAAAAAAGAGGCAAUUCCUAAAACACAUGUACAAAGCUUCGUUUACACUGAGCUCCGGCCUUUUUUUGCCUCUUAAGGAAAUUUGUUUCAGUGGAGGAGUUGUGAGAGUACUUGUCACAUACAGGUAUCAGCUUUUUCCUACCACAAAGGAAAGAAAAAGAAAAGAAGCUGAUGAACCUGAUUAAUAAUAAUUUAGGGUGGCAGACGUAGAAGGGAGUCAGAGAUUCAUCCAGUGCAUUUUUAUAAUCUAAUAUUGGACAAAACUAAAUACACGUACAGGAUCACAAGAUGCCUUAACGGAGUCUAUAUUGGACAUACAAAGACUUGAUGAUUAAAGCUCUUAAAAACAGACAUCUGGUAAAUCUAUGACUGGUAAGUGUGUGUGUGUGUGUGUGUGUGUGUGUGUGUGUGUGUGUGUGUGUGUGUAGAGAGAGAGAGAGGGAGAUAGAAAGAGAGCAGAGGGAGAGCGCACACACAUACAACAGUCUGUGGCUUGGAUGGUCUAGGCACUUGGAGGAUAUGCAAAGUAUGAACCUAAAUUUUAAGAACCCUCUACCAAAUUGGGAAACAAGACUCAUGCAAUGAAACAAUAAAGUAAUACAAGAAAAUAAGAUGUGAUUUAAUGGCAAAACAAAACAACAUGUUAUUGGGGGAAAAAUAAAAGAGCACUUCCUAUUAUAUAAAAUUUGAAGCUGUUAGUCAGCUCUGCAGUACCUAGUUCUUUGACACUGAUAAAUUUCCUUAAAUUUUCUAAGGUAUUAAACUACAUGAUCUCCAAAAUUCCGAAUUUCCUUAGAUUAUCUAAGGUAUUGGACUACAUGAUCUCUGAAAUUCCUUACGCCUGGAAAUUCUAAGACUUUAAUUUUAAAGAUAAUCAGACUAGGAAGUGAACAAAUGUGUCCUCAGAGGGAAUAGGACAUGAAAUGAGCCUCAAAGAAAAAAUAGGUUUCACAAAGUGUUCAAGGACAAGGUAGGCAUCCAAACAUGAAAUGAAAAAAAAAAAAAAACCACAAAAUAUAUAUCUGAUAUGAUGAAUGAUGUGGCAUGUCCACUUUUCCAUGACAAGUCAUCUGAGUGGAACACAUAAUCCAUGUCAGAGGCAGUCGCCACAUAUUAGAUCUUGGCAUGUUUUGAAAACCAGGGUGAGAAUUUGACCAUCACAUUUAAAAGGUGAUAGGAGGAACACAGCUGGAAAAUGACAGAGAAAGAACCAAAUGUUGAGGAAGAAGUUGAGGUAAUGAAAUGAAACAGAAUUAAUAGAGAACCAAAAUGAUACCACAAUGGUCUGGGGAUAGUGUUGAAAAGAAUAGCCAAUCAAAUAGUAGGUUUUUGAAUAAAAAUAUAAAUGUGUCAAAUGAGAUAGAGACAUACUGGUUCCAAGCUAUUCCCAAGUCAAAAGAAAAUGGAAAUUUAAAGCGGUGCUGUGCUUGCUUACUUCAUAAACAAAGAGAAGACUAUUGUAAUCAGUAGCACCUUUGCUUCCUCCAUCCCGUGUCCAUAUAAAAGCAGUCAUUGGCACAACCACUGUUAUUGCCAAUAGAAGGGAGAAACAUAAAAUAAAAUAAAAUAAUAAUUACAUGUAGUUUCUAAAUGUUUGCAAUUUAUGUAUUCAAAACUGAAUAUAUUUUUAUAACAAAAAUUAAUUUUAAAAAGGGAGUGUUUAACAUAGGCACUGAUUAAAAUAAUGAUGUGUAUAAGGCAAUGCUAGCCAUAUCAUUAUGGGUGAGAAGUUUUGUGCUAUAGUCAAUAAUCUGAUUUUUUAAAUCUUUAAAUUUCCCAUAGCUUCAGGCAUGAAAGGAGGACUUUGUGUGUAUCAGCGGAAGAAAGAGAGGGAGGUUCUUGCCGUUACACUGCAGAAAUUAACAAAAUUUGGCCUACUCAGAGGCAGUUAAGCGAAGAACAUCAUGAUUACUUAUAGUUUGUGGAAACAAAAAUAAAAGCCACUAUGCUAUAAAAGAAACAAAAUUAAUCUGAUGCAGAGGAGCAAAGAGAAUUUAACACUUCCUGUAUGUGAAAAACUGCUAAGCCAAAAUUGGUUAGCAGCCGUUGUUUUCUGUAGACAGGAAGCAAGAAUUAACUUAAAUUGUAGCUUGCUAUUAAGUUAAAUAUAAGGAAGUGUUCAUUUACUAUGCAAAUUAUUUCCAAAUACAGGAAAGAAAUACAAAACAUGAGAAAAUUAUGGAAUGAGUUUUCAUAGCCAUACUAAGAAAUGGAAAAGUAAGAAGUAAGUCGCCUUUCUGAGAUGUGAAUCUGUCAAAUGUAAAACAUUAGAAGAAAAGCACUUAGAGAUUUGGAUGAGAAAUAUUAAAUGAGAAGCCUGCAUAAGGAAGAGUGACAAAGUAUAAAGAAUUAGAAAUUAAUAUUAAAUACAUUAUUAUAUUCAAAAUACUUCCCCCUAAGAAAUUAAGAUAAAUGGUUCAUGUUUAUUUUAUCUAUUCAUUAUAAAAAUUUUAAACAAUGCAGUAAAGAAUAACAGUUUUUAAAUUAAACACAACAAAACUUAGUUAAGCCACAAACAAAUGACACAAACUACCACAAUCCAGAAAUAACUAUUUUUAUCAUUAGGUAAAUAUCAUUACAAAUAUAUAUAUAUAUUAUUGACAUAAUAGAUACAAUUUUUUUACUCCUAGUGAGGUAUAAUCGACAUACAACAAACUGCACAUAUUUAAAAUGUACAAUGUGGUAAAUUUGAGACGUGUAAACCCAUGAAACCAUCACCACAGUCAAUAUAUUGAUAUAUGAGAAAAGUUUUGGGGGUAAUAGAUAUCAUUAUUUUGAUUAUGUAUUUAACAGACAUUAAACAUAUUUUUAAUAAACGUUAAUUAACCAUUCUAAAAAUCCUACAAGUGUGGUGUUAUUUUAUCCCCACUUAAGAAAACUAAAGCCUAGUUGGGUUAAGUAAACUGCUUAAAGUCACAAAACUAGUAAGUACCAAUCUGAACUUGAACCCAGGCAUUCUGGAAUAUAAAUAAGCAAAUAUAAUGUCUGUAGGUAUAUACUUACAGAAAUGGUAUAGAGAUUACAGAAUAAAUUCUUAUAAACAAUAACAAAAUAAAAAGGAAAUUGUGUUUCUAAUUUGGUUUAUUUAGCAACCCUUAAGGGCUUAAAGGCGAAGAUAUUACUUAACUCUAAUGGAAAGGCCAUGUAAGAUAUUGGCUGGGCAUACUGCUACCUUCUGGGAAGCUCUCUGUAAAGGGAACAUUGAGCAAUGUCUGGAGACAUGUUUGGUUGUGACAACUUGGGGACAUUUCUGCCAUCAAGUGCCAGAAGUAAGGAUCUUGCUAAACAUCCUGCAAUGCACAGGACAGCCCCCUACAAAAAAGAGUUAUUUGGCCCCAAAUGCCAACGGUAGCACCGUUGAGCAGGUCCUGAAUGAGGAGAAGCCAUGAGUCAGCCAAAGCCAUGGACACAACAAAAGAGAGUAGGGACAUUUAGCCUGUAGAGCACUAACAGUAAAAGCCAAAACAGACAGAAGCUUAGCUGACUGUCCACAGUGGCAGAGGUCUUGUAUGGAACAACGGAAGCCUACUUUUUAGAAGAAAAUGGGUCGUCCAAAGGGAAUCAAGUCUCUAGAACUAUCCUGAACCGUGACUCAUAUUGAAGUUCUCCCCAAAACCUGCUGAGACAUGUUCCUUUUCCUUACUGACGAACCUGUAAAAUAAACUCCUCUUACCUGUUAUACAAGACGGGGUUCCACCGUGUUUGCUAGGAUGGUCUCGAUCUCCUGACCUCGUGAUCUGCCCGCCUCGGCCUCACAAAGUGCUGGGAUUACAGGCGUGAGUCACUGUGCCUGGCCUGCCAAGACCUACCUGAAAUGGGAUUUGUACAUGCAGAUAUGGAGAAAGACACAGAAAUUAAAGCUAGAAGAAAGAAGAAGGAAAACCAACUCAACAAGCUAAAACCUAGGAAGCCAGUAGGACACCGUUCGGGCACCCUGGAGGAAACUCCUCAGUGCACUUCUGCAGGCAGCCAUAUGGUUAGAAUCAGCGGGUUCACCCAGUGCCAGCUUACAACGGGCGUGUAUAUGAAUAGCAUGCAAGCAAUCAGACUAGCUAUGGGUUUCAUAUACUCCCUCUGUAUAGGGUGCUUUUUACACCUUAUGGAAAAGGAGUUGGUAGUAACCACAGAUCUCUGCCUCUGAAGGUUAAAAGAAAAAGAAAAAUAAAGAAAAGAAGGAGAAGGAAGACAAUGACAGGAAGAGGAGGAAGAUGAGAGAAGAAAGAAAGCAAGAAAAAGAGAAAAAAGAAAAAAAUAAAGAAAAAGAAAGAAGGAAAGAAGGAAAGAAAGAAAAGAAAAGAAGAAAGAAAAAGAAAGAAAGAGAAAAAGAAAGAAAGAAAGAAAGGAAAAAAUCUUAAGAAUUUAAUAUUAGGUCAAAAAAAUUGUGGUUUUGGCAUAAAAACUGCCCUUUUAACUUCUGAAAACUUUUUUUUCUGGUUUGGAAAAGAAAUAGAGCAGUUUUGUGAUGAAAGGAUUUAUAGAGAAGGUUUUCUUGGUAUUCUGGUUGGAUUUAUUUCAACUACUGUUUAGAAAGAGAAUAUUUGUUAUGUGUUUAAGUUGUUUUAUAGUGUUAGGAUCAUUCCAUGAGAAGACUAAAGCGAUUAUAAGAAUAUUGUCUAACUUUCUGCCCAUCUCCAUCUCAAUUUCACGAAUACCAAAGUACCAGACACAAAUUUAAAUUUCCUGAAUUGUGAAGAAGGAUAUUAGCCAUGGUGUCAUCUGUAUUUUUUCCUUAUGUCUCUGUAUUUCCUUGUAACCACCAUGAGGUUUAUAGAUGCUUUACAUUUUUUAAAGUGUAUUUUGUCUUUUUAUAUUAUUUACUUCUCUCAUCUUUCUAAGACAUGAAGAACUACCUAAUUUGGGGUCAUAAGAAUGAGGGCUAUACAGGAAGACUAAUUCAAGGCUUCAGAUUCAGGGCAGGCAGUUUAGGACACAACACUUAUUAUCAUCUCCCUGAACCUCAGACGUUAUCAGUCUGCAAGAGAAAUUUAAUCCUGAACAUAAAUUGCAUUUCCUAAAAAAACAUAAUCUUGCCUUAAGACACCAACCUCCCUGAUUACAGGGAAUGUCUGUGUUUACACAUUUGUACAGAGCAUGCUGACUGUAUUAGUGUCCUAGGAAACAAACUGUGUGCUGCUCACAGACCUGCUGCAAGCACUAAGGAGAGAAAGAAAAAGAAAUUUUGAAAUCAGACCCCCGAUCUCCAACUCCUUUCAAAUUCUUGAAGCACAUUAGCUUUACUACUGCAUGAUGUACACGGUAGUAUUUCUUCUAAUGAAAUCUGACUAAAAGUUUAAAUGAGUUUAAUGCAUGAAAUGUAUAAAUAAAAUGUGGCCUUGAUUAAAUUUAGACUUGAUACAUAACUUAAAUGGGUAGCCCAAGAAUAGCAUUGGUAUCAUGUGUCUAGACCUUUUCAGGCUUUGCAAAAGUAGUUUGGAUUUUAUCAGUUAGUGCAGAACACUUUCUAACAGGAGCACAGUAUAUAUAAAAAGCUGAAAUAUGCAAAAGUACUGUGGAGAAAAGUGAGCGUAAUUGAAAAGAAGCGACUGAGAAAAUAACAUAAGAUAUUAAAAGGUGACCGCAGAGUGGAAUUUUGAAGUGUUGAUUUGCAAAGAGCAAUUUACAUAGGUAAAACAUUCCAUUUGCCGUUUCUUCUGGAUUUAUUUUCGUUUCAUGACUUUGGAAAAAUCUCUUAAUUUCAUGAAGCCUCAGUUUUCCCCAGUCGUGGAUCCAGAUGCCUUAUUUGCCUACUUUCUAGUUUGUUGGAAGGAUUAGAAUGAGAAAACAAAUACAAAAGGAUUUGGAUUCUGUAGAGUGCUUAUAAAUCUAAGGCAUUAUCAUUAUAAUAAUUUCAGCUAUAUAUCUAAUACACUGCUUUUCAGUGUAUUGAAAAUACACAGUUGGCUUUUUCCUUAAGGAUUUAUCCAAAAGUCUACAAGACCAUAUCCAUUACUCAUAUAAAACUCUUUGACCACAUGACACAGAAAAGAGACUUUUUCAGAAACGAACUUUUCAGCUAGUGUGUUAGAUAUGUAACCCAUUAUUUGUAAUAGGUAGGGCUAAAGCUAUUAGACAUAUUAAAUGGAUUUUAAAAACAGCUCUUGGGAAACUACAUAAAUUAGUAGUAAAAUGUACGGUCUUUGAAGUCAGCCAUCCUCAGCUUCAAUCCUGCCUCUACUUACUUGCUAUAAGUAUCACAGCUGUACAAUUAAGAAUGUUACUGUAUCUUCAUAAACUGUUUUUAUAUCAUUUAUUAAAUGGAGAUAAAAAAUACCUGCUUAAUGGUUUUGCUGUGAGGAUUAAAUAAUAUGAUAUGUGGAGAAGUUUUAACUCAUCCCUGGUAUUCAAUAAUAGCUAUUCGAAAAAAUUCUACUUUAUUUUUUAUUGUUUUAUAUAUAUACCACAUAAAUACUAAAAUAUGCAUUUCAAGGCAAUCACACCCAUAAAUAAAAAGGAACGUAUUCCACUUCAAAAGGUCAAAGAGUUAUUCCUUAUUGACAGUUUAAAAACGGAAGACCAGUUCUGAAAUCUCUCAAAUUGAAGAUGGAGAGGGGGAUAAAUGAAACAUUGCAACAUAAGGACAGCGCAUGAUGGAGUGGCAAAAGUUUCUCUUAAACCUCCUCAGGAGAAAUGUUUGAUGAUUUUAGGCUAACCCACAGCCAAACUCUGUUUUUGUUUUGUUUUUAUUUUUUCUGUUUUAAAGAUUGCACAGUGCCACUCAGUUUUAGGCAUCUAACAGAAUGAAACCAGGUGAGUUUGAGCCAAUUUUGCCUUUCAUUUUUCAACUUUGUUUAUUACUUUACUUAAACCACAACAUUCUGAGAUCUCACAAGAAAAUCUGUUUCUGUGACAUUUUCAGCCUGAUUUCCAAACCAGAG
RNAcentral lists this long non-coding RNA (9788 nucleotides) under Homo sapiens (human). RNAcentral describes it as "non-protein coding lnc-RASSF9-2:1". The record is from RNAcentral. Lineage: Eukaryota; Metazoa; Chordata; Mammalia; Primates; Hominidae.